RNAcentral lists this ribosomal RNA (452 nucleotides) under uncultured Candidatus Saccharibacteria bacterium. Its description in RNAcentral is "bacterial SSU rRNA". It matches the Rfam family "Bacterial small subunit ribosomal RNA", at positions 35 to 419 of the family's 1533-position model. The record is from RNAcentral. Lineage: Bacteria; Candidatus Saccharimonadota.
GCUGGCGGUGUGCCUAAUACAUGCAAGUCGAGCGGUAACAGGCUCUCACUAUUUACUUGAAGUCGAGACAGGAACGAUUUCGCAGGAAUCGUAUCACUAACGAUAGACGAGCGAACAUCAAGUAAAGAGUGAGAGUGCNGACGAGCGGCGGACGGCUGAGUAACACGUAGGAACGUANCCCAAAGUGAGGGAUNAGCACCAGAAAUGGUGUCUAAUACCGCAUGUGCUCUAAGGAGUAAAGCUUUACGCGCUUUGGGAACGGCCUGCGCAUGAUUAGCUUGUUGGUGAGGUAAAAGCUCACCAAGGCGACGAUCGUUAGCUGGUCUGAGAGGAUGAUCAGCCAGACUGGGACUGAGACACGGCCCAGACUCCUACGGGAGGCAGCAGUAGGGAAUUUUCCACAAUGGGCGAAAGCCUGAUGGAGCAACACCGCGUGCAGGAUGAAGGCCUUC